Molecule: ribosomal RNA, 253 nt
Filed under: uncultured bacterium
Lineage: Bacteria
Description: partial 16S ribosomal RNA
Rfam family: Bacterial small subunit ribosomal RNA
Source: RNAcentral
UACGUAGGGGGCGAGCGUUGUCCGGAGUUACUGGGCGUAAAGGGCAUGCAGGCGGUCGGACGCGUUUUGUGUGACAGCGGGUGGCUCAACUACGCGAGCAUACGAAAGACGGUUUGACUUGAGGGCUCGAGAUGGACACGGAAUUCCGGGUGGAGUGGUGAAAUGCGUAGAGAUCCGGAGGAACACCGAAGGCGAAGGCAGUGUCCUGGCGAGUGACUGACGCUGAGGUGCGAAAGCCAGGGGAGCGAACGGG